GCCGAGGGCCGUACCACCCUGAGAACACCUGAGCUCCUCUGAUCUCGGAAGCUAAGCAGGGUUAGUACUUGGAUGUUAGGCUGCCUGGGAAUACUGGGUGCUAUAGGCU
Molecule: ribosomal RNA, 109 nt
Filed under: Podiceps cristatus (great crested grebe)
Lineage: Eukaryota; Metazoa; Chordata; Aves; Podicipediformes; Podicipedidae
Source: RNAcentral